AUGAGUAGUUGAAUGGCCGCAGUAUUUUGACUGUGCAAAGGUAGCAUAAUCAUUAGUUUCUUAAUUAGAAACUGGAAUGAAAGGUUGGACGAGAAAAUAACUGUCUCUUUAUAAAUUAUUUAGAAUUUUAUUUUUAAGUUAAAAAGCUUAAAUAAAUUUAAAAGACGAGAAGACCCUAUAGAGUUUUAUAUUAUAGUGAUUAGUAAUUUGAAUAGAAUCUUAAAAAUUUUACUUUAAUAUAGUAUUUAAUUGGGGUGAUUAAAAAAUUUAUAUAACUUUUUUUUUAUAAAAACAUUGAUUUAUGAUUUAUUGAUCCAUUAUUAUGAUUAAAAGAAUAAAUUACCUUAGGGAUAACAGCGUAAUUUCUUUUUAGAGUUCUAAUCGAUAAAGAAGUUUGCGACCUCGAUGUUGGAUUAAAAUUUAAUUUUGGUGUAGAAGCUAAAAAAUUAGGUCUGUUCGACCUUUAAAAUUUUACAUGAUCUGAGUUUAAACCGGUGUGAGCCAGGUUGGUUUCUAUCUUUAAAAAUAAUUAAAUAUUUUAGUACGAAAGGACCAAAUAUUAUUAAAAUUUAU
This 573-nucleotide ribosomal RNA is filed under the name Boreostiba sp. HE-2010. RNAcentral describes it as "partial 16S ribosomal RNA". It matches the Rfam family "Bacterial large subunit ribosomal RNA", at positions 1915 to 2712 of the family's 2925-position model. Lineage: Eukaryota; Metazoa; Arthropoda; Insecta; Coleoptera; Staphylinidae. The record is from RNAcentral.